GAUGAGGUGGGGUCCACUUAUGAGCUGGUCCAGAGUCUCGUCUCCACCCACUCCAUCAUUGAUACCAAGAUGGCUUCAAGUUGAGUGAUGCUGUUUUCUGAUUCUAAGCCACUUGGGUCAGAGGAUAUAGAUAAUCAAGUAUUUGCUGAUGAACCUGCAAAUUGAAUUCGUUUGCAUUUCCUUGGUAAUAAUGUAGGCUGUUGAUGCCAAAGGAAGAAAAACAAAUGGGCUUGUAACUGAUCGAAUGCGAUAGAAAGUCAUUUUUGCAGAUGAAGAUGGACCUGGAGAUAGUGAUGAUGAAGAAGAUGAAAUUUCUGAAGAUGAUAGAUUGGAACCCGUCUCUAGUGAUGAGGAAGCAGAAGAGGAGGAAAACGCUGAGGUGACUGAUCAGUAUAUGACUGCUAAGGGCAUCAAACGAGGGAAGCUUGAGGAGUUGGAAGAAGACAGUGAAGUAGAUUUGCCAGCAUUUGCUGACUGUGAUGAUGAGCUUGAGGGGAGCUCAGCAGAAGGGGAAGUGGAAUAAGCUGAGGAAAGCAGUGAGGAAGAGGACUGCACUGCAGGAGAGAGGGGCAUUUCAGGAUCAAAGACUGUUGGAGAAGGUAGUAAAGCAGAGCUGUCACCAGCUAAUCUCCAGAGUGAUCCUGUAAAUCUGGAGAAGUCUUUGUUGAUGAAGAAAGCAGCCCUCACCUCUUUAUCUCUGGGCAUUGCACAGCUGACGAGGCAUUUGCAUCUGAAGAUGAAUCUGAAGAAAGCUCUUCACUCAGUGCAGAGGAAGAGGACCUGGAAAAUGAGGACACUUUUAGGAAAAAGGUUUCAGAGCCUUCUCAAGUAGGCAGUGGUCAGAACCUGGGGUGAAGAAACUUAAUUGAUGAGACCAGUGAUAUAGAAGAUUUACUCAAAGAAGAAGAAGAUUGCAAGGAAGAGAAGAAUGAUUCCACAGAAGCCUCAGUGACAGAAGAUAAUGAAGAAGAUGAUACCUGAGAAGAGCUUGGAGGGUGGUUUUGUGUCAGCCAGCCUGACAGCGUGGAAGCACAAGGCCGACUCUUUGGACUGCUUCAGAUUUCUUGUGGAGGUGCCCCAUGACUGGGAUUUAGAGGACGUGUGCGAAGAGUCGGACCAGGAUGAGGGGACAGAGCAUUCUCCUGAGUCUGAAAUCUGUGAGACAGCAGCUGAGGACACCACAGCACCUGAGGACACGGCAGCAGAUGAGGACAGGGCAGCAGAUGAGGACACGACAGCAGCUGAGGAUACAACAGCAGCCGCACCCACGGCUGCUGCCACAGAACCUGCCGAGUUGACUGUUGAAGCUGGUGAGGUCUGUCCUGUGCACGACAUCUGUGAUGGGGAGAUGCCUGAAGGUAAGGAGGUGAAGGGGCCAUCUGCCCUAGCCACCCCUUUGGCUGCUGGUAUCUUCAAGUUACCCUGGGGGGCAUCCCCUCCCGGGCUCCUUUUUUCCUGUAGCCAGCUUUUCCAGGGCUGGUCAGAAACAAAGGCUGGCUCUGCCUUGCAUUCCUUUUCCCACCGCUUAGUCUUUCCCCACGGAGUCCAGUUAAUUUCUUUUCUCCUCCCCUCCCAAACACUCCGUUCUUGCUCCCUCAUCUCAUUCUCUCAGGCUAGCCUGGGACCAUCUUCUUGUCUGUAG
Molecule: long non-coding RNA, 1642 nt
Filed under: Cebus imitator (Panamanian white-faced capuchin)
Lineage: Eukaryota; Metazoa; Chordata; Mammalia; Primates; Cebidae
Description: lncRNA (ENSCCAG00000038246.1)
Source: RNAcentral